GUCCACGCCGUAAACGAUGGAUACUAGCUGUUCGGAGCAAUCUGAGUGGCUAAGCGAAAGUGAUAAGUAUCCCACCUGGGGAGUACGUUCGCAAAGAAUGAAACUCAAAGGAAUUGACGGGGGCCCGCACAAGCGGUGGAGCAUGUGGUUUAAUUCGAUGAUACGCGAGGAACCUUACCAAGGCUUAAAUGUAGAUUGACAGGACUGGAAACAGUUUUUUCUCGUACAAUUUACAAGGUGCUGCAUGGUUGUCGU
Molecule: ribosomal RNA, 255 nt
Filed under: uncultured bacterium
Lineage: Bacteria
Description: partial 16S ribosomal RNA
Rfam family: Bacterial small subunit ribosomal RNA
Source: RNAcentral